AAUUCUCAACCUCUCUAGUUUCUUUUGACUAGUUAGGCUUGGACCAUGGAAGUUGCUGGCUCUAUUCGAAACAGCUCUUCUCAAAUGUAUUAGCAAAGGCUCGUGCUGACCAACUCUGGUAUGAUAAUUAUCUAUAUCAUUGUUGACCAGUUCCCUUUCAUCAGGGAGGUCUUGCUUCUAAUCGUCUUUUAGACAAUUUUGAUAA
Molecule: unclassified non-coding RNA, 205 nt
Filed under: uncultured Entoloma
Lineage: Eukaryota; Fungi; Basidiomycota; Agaricomycetes; Agaricales; Entolomataceae
Description: sequence contains ITS2
Source: RNAcentral